UAAUGAAAUCACCAAGCUAAAAGACAACUACAACAUAUCGAUCUUCAUAAAAGACAUUCAAUAAUUAUUCAAAUUAUUUUAAAGUUUUUUGCUAUUCUAUAAGUGUUAAAUACAUUGGUUUUCUACAUUAUAAAGUAAUCAAACUUAUGUUUGUUUAAUGCAAAGAAAGAAAAAUAUGGCCAAAGUUUUCAAGGUUGUUUAUGUUACGAUCCUCUUUCUUUCAUCGUUUCUUGUUUUAAUUGAUGCAUUUCGAUUUUGUAUUAAUAAAAAAGAUUGUCCAUAUAUGGAAUGUGAUCCUCCUAAAAAUUCGACAUGCAUUGGAAAUAUUUGUGGUUGCACUUUAGGGUAACAUUUUCUUUUGUUUAUAGUGGAGCUUGCAUACCAAACUCAUGAGCUCUAAUAUAUUGUUCAAACUUUUUACCAUAAAUCAAACCUAAUGGUUUGCGCCUAGUGUAACUUACUUCAACUAUAAUAAUUGUAUUUCAUGUUGUAAUGUUGUUACUUAUAUGAUUUCUCUUGCAUUUUGUGAUA
This is a long non-coding RNA of Trifolium pratense (red clover), 531 nucleotides long. RefSeq lists it as uncharacterized. The transcript is spliced from 2 exons. Lineage: Eukaryota; Viridiplantae; Streptophyta; Magnoliopsida; Fabales; Fabaceae. The record is from RefSeq and is a predicted model, not a curated record.